Chlorocebus sabaeus (green monkey) is the source of this 1767-nucleotide long non-coding RNA. RefSeq lists it as uncharacterized. NCBI's taxonomy places the organism in Eukaryota, Metazoa, Chordata, Mammalia, Primates, Cercopithecidae. The record is from RefSeq and is a predicted model, not a curated record.
AAGGGGCUCACUGCAGCUAACAGCCUCAACCCUUGGGCUAGGAAGCCACAGGAGCAAAACCUCCGCCCCGGCCUGAAAGCAACCGGUAGACCGCGAAGCCACUGCCACCGACUCAGUCCUGCCCAGCAGGGGCCCGCCCAGGGGCCACUCCCCAAGGGAGGCAGCCACUCACUCGCCCGCCCUUCCGGGCCCACUCCCGAGGGGACGGUCUCCCGCCCGCUCUCACACACAGCUAGCUCCUCAGGCCAGGCCCCCAGGGCUUCGUCCACCUCUCACCUUUGACGACGCGAGUCUGGAAUUGUCAAGAGUCUGAAGGCACAGAAUAAGAAUGCAGCUAGAGAAAUUUCGGCGCCACAGUUUGUCAAAACAGGUAAGGGGAAGAAAGAAGAUGACACCAAGAGAUGUGCAAAGAAUCUGAAGAAUUCACCUGAAAAGGACACAGCCUCCUCCUGGAAGGCAGAGGAGUAAAUAGGGAAUUGGAAAUUAAUUCCUUAUUUCUGUGCAUGCACAGAACCUGGGCCCAGGUGAUUAUGGACCCUUUAUAGAGACCAAGGUGACUGACAUUCAUGGGAAAGGGGGUAGAGGGAAAAGAAUUGACUGUUUAUCAAAAAUUAUUAGACGAGUGCAUCCACGACACCAGGAGAUAUGUUGAAUCAUGGACAGGGACCAGCAUGUCCACUAAGCUCUAUAUAUCUUGAUGGUGCAGGAUCCAAGUGGGAUGGAACAACAAAUUCCUGCCCAUCGUCCUGCUCAAUAAUACAUGUGCUCAGAAUCUGUUCAUAAUGGAUGGUGAUAAGUAAGUAGUAGCCCGAAGGUCUCAGGAAGAGUACCUUUCCACCUCUUCUUUGUGUCAGUUUCAAUCCUGAGACCCGAGGUGAAAGACGAAGGGAAAGACCAACAAUGGGUAUUUUCCAAAAAGGGAACCCACAAGCUAUUAUUUAGAGAGAAGAGUCUCAGGAGUGAGGCACGGGUGAAAAUGGAUUUUUCUGGCAUGGAAGGGCCGUAACACUACAGGGGAAGGGAAAGGGAAAGGCCCCCAUGGAAGGAGAGGAAGGAACAGGAGGCAUGUCACAAACUUAUAAGAUAGAGGAAAGGCACCCAGAGUACAUCGAUCAGGAGUGAGUUUGUAAGAAGAGCUUGAAUCCCCAGAAAAUCUCCCUAAGGAGGGGAGGAAGGAAGGAAGUGUAUAAUGUACUGAGUACUGAAUGCUCUAUCAGGAAAGGGAUGGGAAACAUCCUAGCAGCAAUAGUAAAAAGGACAGCCACCCUAUUUUAGGACCCAUUGAUUCCCACCUUGAUUGUAUAUCCUUCAACUCCUCUCUGGCUCCUCACUUCCACUCAGUCAAAAGCCACUUCAUAUAUUUAUCUAGGCCUCCCCGCCCCAGUACAAAAAAAGCAAGAGCAUACAAAGGGAAGAAUGACAAGGAAUUAAAUAGAACUAUCUUAUAGAUUUAUUAAUGAAAAAUACUUUACAAAAACAGUAUGUUUGGCCUAAAAUAGUUCAGCUGAUUCUGAGGGUUCACAACAACAACUGAGCAAGUGGUAAUAAUGGCUGUGCUGAGGAUAGAAGGCUGUGUUAGUGUGCCUGACUCCAUCUGUUCAAAAGGGUGGAUAUUAUGUUGGCAGCUCCGCAUUCUAGGCCUAAGGUUUGGAGGGCACAAGGAAUGCUGACAGGCCAUAAUACCUGGGCAGGGGGCUGCCCUGAUGAUGUAAUCAGAACCAUGACCACAGGGCUACAUGUCCCCCCAAGGAUGGGAGAUAGGGAAGA